Long non-coding RNA from Daphnia pulex (common water flea), 1219 nucleotides. RefSeq lists it as uncharacterized. Lineage: Eukaryota; Metazoa; Arthropoda; Branchiopoda; Diplostraca; Daphniidae. The transcript has 9 exons. The record is from RefSeq and is a predicted model, not a curated record.
GGCACCUCAGAAAUUCCUAAUUUCAAAUUUCAAAAGGAUUACAGGAACUAGCCGGAACUAGGAAGACUAGUUCUAUUAGAAAUCCCGCCAGGGCCAGGAGAAGCAACACUUUUUUUGGCAACGUUGUUUAAGCCAAUGGUUUUCUUGAAAGGGAAGCAAUAUUUAAAAUGUCAUUCUUGUCUCAGCUGCUGUAUGGUACUGAUGGCUGUUCCUUCAUCCUACAAAAACCUGAUGUCAUUCUCACGUGGCGAUUUGGAAUUCCAGCAAUGGAUGCUCAAUAAUUUGUUGAUUAAAUUGGUCAAUUGAUUAAUUUCAUGGUUCCUGAGCUUAAUUAGCGUGAAGAAAGAAUUUGCUUGAACUAGGGCGAAAUGAUGUCCAAUCUAGAGUGUUAAUAUUUAGGAUGUAAAACCCAUCUUACUUUUCAUUUCCUUGCUAACUGAUGUGAAUGUUCUUUGAGUUAAGUACAGGGCCACUGACUCCAUAGCUGUAUGUGACUAACAUAAGUUGGGCAGCAAGCCGCUGGGAUGAAACCAUGAGUUAGUCAAGUCUGGUGUAGGUCUGGUUGUUGAUGGCGGCUGCAUCGCUUGGUUUAUGCCGUUCGCUAGUUGGCAAUUUCGAAGGAAACUACGCGGCCGAGUGUGGAUCGGCGUGCCGUGUAUGGAUUGGGCGGUUAAGUAUCGCAGAACUCUACAAGCAGUAUCCGCCGACCUGGGUUUCAGUAGACGUUUCCGUGUUCUUUUGAGUUGAUUCAUCGGCAGUGGUGGCUAUCAACGGUUCAAAGGCGGGCUGUCCGGUGUUUAUUUAAAAUCAGGGCAUCAUUGCGCUUACUGGCAGGAACAUAAGGAUGAAUGCUUCGGAAUCCUGGCCAUCUGAAGUUGGGGGACUAAGAUGUGGAACAUACAUGGUUAGCUGAAUUAAAGGCGACAUUGGUGUAACACGCGUUUUGGGUAUUAGGUUUCGGACAGGUUUAACAGGUAUUUUGAGCAAACUGGCUGCAGUAUUUGUCCCAUCUGAAAUGGAAAGUUGAUUGUUUCCACAGAUAUUAGUUUCGGUGUGCCGGAAAAUUUGGAGUAAGAACAGAAACAAGAUGUUUGGCAAGAUUUUAUUUGAGUAAUUUGAUUUCAUGUCUGUCAAAUUGUCAAAUGUUCAAAUUCGAGAUUAACUUUAGCGUUUGUUGUACAGGUAUUAUGAUGUAAACCAAUACAAAUGCUUAAAUGUG